ACAAGUACCAAAGAUUUAUUUCUAUGAAUAAAGUAUAUUAUGAAAUAAAGAAAAAAUCCCAUUGCACUUCAGGUAUGCUGACGCCUGCGAUGUCCCCAAAUGCGGGAUACUCGACUGCAAAAUUUGUGGUAGUGGGGGACUGCGAUCGCGCUCUCCCCUG
Molecule: non-coding RNA, 160 nt
Organism: Chiloscyllium plagiosum (whitespotted bambooshark)
Lineage: Eukaryota; Metazoa; Chordata; Chondrichthyes; Orectolobiformes; Hemiscylliidae
Source: RefSeq, a predicted model, not a curated record